UGAGCAAUUUGCCCUUCUCAUCGGAAUAAGCGUUGGAAACGACGUCUAAUGCCGAAUACGACCUCCUUUCGCAUGAUCGGAGGUGGAAAGCUCCGGCGGAGAAGGAUGAGCUCGCGGCCUAUCAGCUAGUUGGUGUGGGUAAUGGCCCACCAAGGCGACGACGGGUAGCCGGCCUGAGGAGGGUGACCCGGCCACACGUGGGACUGACGACACCGGCCCAGACCUCCGUACGGGGAGG
RNAcentral lists this ribosomal RNA (238 nucleotides) under uncultured bacterium. RNAcentral describes it as "partial 16S ribosomal RNA". It matches the Rfam family "Bacterial small subunit ribosomal RNA", at positions 118 to 347 of the family's 1533-position model. The record is from RNAcentral.